UACAUGGGGUGCAAACGUUGCUCGGAAUUACUGGGCGUAAAGGGCGCGUAGGCGGCUUAUCGAGUCAGGCGUGAAAAUCCCGGGCUUAACCUGGGGACUGCGCUUGAGACUGAUGGGCUUGAAUUCGGGAGAGGAUGGCGGAAUUCCCAGUGUAGAGGUGAAAUUCGUAGAUAUUGGGAAGAACACCGAUGGCGAAGGCAAUCCCCUGGACCUGUACUGACGCUCAUGCACGAAAGCGUGGGGAGCAAACAGG
Molecule: ribosomal RNA, 253 nt
Filed under: uncultured bacterium
Lineage: Bacteria
Description: partial 16S ribosomal RNA
Rfam family: Bacterial small subunit ribosomal RNA
Source: RNAcentral